CGAAGCGAAGCAGUGAUGUGAAGCAAAUCGCACCAAAGCCGGUCCCCAGUUCGGAUAAGAGGCUGAAACUCGCCUCUUUGAAGUCGGAAUCGCUAGUAAUCGCAGAUCAGCAUGUUGCGGUGAAUACGUUCCCGGGUCUUGUACACACCGCCCGUCAAACCAUGAGAGUCACCAACACCCGAAGUCCGCUUUGGCGGCCUAAGGUGGGGAGAUGAUUGGGGUUAAGUCGUAACAAGGUAAC
RNAcentral lists this ribosomal RNA (241 nucleotides) under uncultured bacterium. Its description in RNAcentral is "partial 16S ribosomal RNA". It matches the Rfam family "Bacterial small subunit ribosomal RNA", at positions 1245 to 1500 of the family's 1533-position model. The record is from RNAcentral.